Molecule: long non-coding RNA, 4731 nt
Filed under: Citrus maxima (pomelo)
Lineage: Eukaryota; Viridiplantae; Streptophyta; Magnoliopsida; Sapindales; Rutaceae
Description: long non-coding RNA (CMAX_LNC000320)
Source: RNAcentral
AGAAUUUUGUUUCAGUGAAUGCUAAUUUCAUAGGUGGUUUCCAUGCUCUAGUUGAAGAUAAUUUUGCUAGUUUUUAGGCAUAAUAUAUUGGGGAAUGAGUCCAAGUUGAUUGAAUUAGAGAGUUGACAAUGAUGGCGAGGGGAGUUCGAGGAAGUCUUUGGUUUCCAGACCUAGGACUUAUGAAGUAAAGCUCGGUCCCUCAGCCUCAUCAUUGGGCCGGGUAUUCAGCCGGGUCCCAUGCAAGUCUAGGCCGAGCGAAUAUUCUUAACAUCUCUACUCACAUACCUACUUCUGAUGAGCUGGCUUGACAGGGCCGUUGGACAUCUGUGUUUGACAAAAUAUCAUAAAACCUUUAUAAAAUAAAAUAAUAUACUUGGGAGUGAGGACGAGUUUGAUUUUCGUAAGUUUUACGUUUUGUACCCGUUGAUCAUGGACUGAUUCAAUUUAAAAUUUUCACUGAGUUUUGCUUUUUGUAUACAUUGAUCGUGGGCCUAUUCAACUUAGAAAAUAGAAAUCAGGGAGGUUAAAAUCUUCUUGCCUUCAAGUUGCAUGGCGAAACCAUGGAGGGACCGAAAAGUUUGUCUUCUUUCCAUGAUAAGCUGUUUUCCUCCCACUUAGCUGCCCUUCUGAAGUGGAGACUUAACCUUUUGUAUUGAAUAAUUGACUUUGUAUUAAGAAAUUUUAAUCCCACCUAAGACCUUGUAAGUAAAAAUAUCAAAUAAAUAAUAAACAUAAAAUAAAUAAAGAAUAAAACCAAUCACACAACACAAUAAUUUACGUGGAAAAGUGAAUUAUUGAAAAAAAAAUUACGACUGCCAAAGACAACAAGAGAAAAGUUUACUAUGUGAAAAAUUAUUAUAAUCAUUCUAGUAUUUUUCUCUCAAACCCCAAUAACACCCAAUUUCUCAAUAGACCUACUAUUUCUCUCAACUAGAAACUGUCUACAUGAAGAGAACUGAUUGUUGUAUUAUACAAACAAGUGAAUCCAACCUCUCUAUAUAUAGUGAUUAUUUCUUAUAGAAAAAGUAUUUCUUUUUUUAUACUAGUAAUAUUUCUCCUUAAAAAAAGUUAAGUCCUAAAGAAAAAAUUAUUUAUCCUUAAAUAGGAUGUUGCAGAAGCGUGAGUUGAGCAACUAUAAAUAGUAUGGUGAUUGCAACUUCUGGAGAAAUAUAAAUGUGAUGAUAAACAAAUGCAAAAAAAAAAAAAAAAAAGACACAAUAAUUUACUUGUUUCGGCUUAAAGCAUACUUCCAUGGGCAAUCAGCCCUUCCCCAUUAAUCACUUCAUGCCCAUUAUUUCUCUGAAUCUCCUUUGAGCUCAGUGAUGCCUUAGCAUUUUCAAAGGUCAAUGUUGUUCUUAGAUACAACAUUGUAUCUACAAAAUCUUCAUAGGAUUGUGGCAGUGAACUUAGCAAGAAGAAUGCUUUGUCUUCACCUCGAAUCUUCACAUUUUCAACCCCAUCAUGAUAAAGAAUGAUCUUGUUGAAGGUAUCAAUGUGAUCUUAGAUAGACACACCCUCUUUCAUCGAAAACGCAUAGAGCUUUUUCUUCAAGAAAGCCUGUGGGCUAAGGACUUCUUCAUACAUAGUGCCUCCACCUUAUUCCAUAUCCCCAAAGGUGUUUUUUCUUCAGAGAUUUCCCUUAAGAUUGAGUCACUAAGGCUCAAAAUCAAGGUACUGUGGGCUUUGUUCUGGAUCUGCUUUUUCUUUUCAUCAGGUUUGGAACUUAUAGCUCCAUCAAGAUCUUCUUCUUCUAGAGCAGACUCAUGGCCCUAAUGAACAAGCAGAGCCCUUAGCCUCAUCUUCCAGAAACCAUAUAACUACCUUUUAACAACCCAGGCCAUGUCAGCAAAAAUUUUUAAAUGUACCCCUCAACUGAAUGCAAUCUGCAUAAUGACCCACAAAGUUCUCAUUUGAUUUCACUUUUGUUCCUAAAUCAAACAAGCAUAUCUUCACAACUUGAAGCAUUCACUACUGUAGAAUUGGUCUUUAAUGACGGUUUUAAAUGACAUAAGAUGACGAUUUUAAAACCAUCAUCUUAGGCAGUGGCAUUAAAAGUGACAUUAAAAAAGGCAUACUUUUUAUAACGGUUCAAAAACCGUCAUUAAAUGUAUACAUAUAAUGAUGGUUAUUUUGCUAAACAUUCGUUAUUUAUGAUAUAUACUAAAAUUUUAAUCAUGAUUUUUUUCCUAAAAACCAUCAUUAAAAAGGCACAUUUAAUAACGAUUCUUUUAAUAACGGUUAUCUAUUGCAUUUUUCCAUUAAUUUUUAAUGACGGUUUUAUUCACAACCGUCAUCUUUUAUAACAAGUAUACUUAUAUUUAAUGACAGUUAUUACAUAAUAAAAUUUUAAGGUGUAGGAAUUUAACCUCUUCAUAUGGCCUAUCAAUUUAAUGACUGUCACCAAACUUAAUUGUAAACUCUUGACCUACAAAAUUUUGAAAGAAUAUAUGAUUAGAAAGAUCCUGAAAAUCACCUCCAUCUGCUAAACUGAAAUUUUGAAAGAGUAUAAUCUAUUACAUAGCACAUUCCUAUGCUUGUACUAUAUUAAUUUAAUAUAGUAUUCCAAUUUAGUCGUCUAAGAGCAUUAAUACGUAUACACUAUAAGCUAAACAAUUAGAAGACUCUAUUGGUACCCUGAUAUGAGUGUUUAUCUAAAAAUAUUUUUAGAACUCAUGUUCUAAAGCAAGAAAUAUAAAUAUAUGAUCUUUAUAGAUAUGAAUGGUGAGUAGUAUAGUUGUAAUGCCAUACAGGUAAUUGAAGCACAAACUGCAAAGGUCACCUAAUCAGCUAGUAUUUUGUCAAAUCAUUUAACUUAUCAACAAAGAUGAGGGAACCAUUGGAGUCAAAAUAUGCAGUUGCUUUAUUGUCUCCUACAUAAUCUGCAUUAACAAAGUCAUAUUACUGAUAGAACUAAUAAUUUUGAAUGAACUAAAAUGAAGAAAGGAAGUUGUUCGAAAGCUAAGUUAAGAAAAUGAAUUGCUUUCAAACUACCUAGAAAUAAAAACAAGGAAAGAAAUAAUCAACAGCAAGUUUAAAAAUCAACUUGCUUUCAUGCUUUUGUUCUUUAGGCUCAAAUUGUAUAGAGGCGUAAAUAACUCCUUCCAAUUUCUCAGCUUUUAUCUUAAAAGCAAUCAAAGCAUCCAUUUGCUCACUCAAACAUUCAACCUAAGCAUAAUUUUCUUUCACUUUAUUCCCAUAAAACUUGUCAAAUUUAUCAAAAUCAUCAUCAAGCCUUGUAAAAAACUACUGCUCCCAUUCCCCUCCUUCCUCAACAAUCUUCAAAAAUAUUUUUAAUGCAAAAUAAACCAAAAAAGUUUCCGGGAGCCGUUUUGAUUGUAGAACAGUAACCAAAUAGCACUUGCAGAUUUCCAGCGGUUGUUUUGCUACUGUUUUGCAGUGAAAACAGCCAAUAGAAAUUUGCAGAGGCUGGCUUUUCUGCUUUUCUGUGGUGAAAAUAGCCCCGCAAAUUACCAAGGGCUGUUUCAGUGCAGAAAAGCAGAAAAGCAGUCCUUGUAAACUUCUAGCGGAUAUUUUGACAGCAAAGCUAUAGAAAAACAACCUUUGGAAUCGUCCAUUGCUGUUUUAGUUUGAUGAAGAAUAACGGUAAAUUGAUUUUUUUUUUUUAACUAUGAACAUAAUCAAUAGAUGAUUCAACAACCAUGGGAAAUUAUCAAAGCAACCUCAAAUGGGAACAAGCAAAGUUAUCAAGCAAAAACAAAAUAAAUAAGCCUUAUUAUCAUUUUCCUUUCUAAAUUUUGAUAUUAAUAAUAAUAAAAAAAUUAGUGCAAAGCUUUCAAUGAUUUGGAAAAAAUUAAAAAGCCCAAAAUAGGAGGAGGGACAGUUAAAACUUAUAUGAUAAAGGUCAAAUCCAAGAACAUACAUUGAUAACUUUGAUAAAGAUCAGCUGAAACUUGCGCUGCAUCUUCAGUUGAUUUCUUAGAAGCUUGGUUGUAAACAAUAUAAAUCCCAUAUUUUUUCACCACGUCGCCACAGUUUAUGUGUUUAAGAUUUAACUGGAAAAAGACAACAAUAUUUUCACAAUACUCACCGUCCCCAUUGAAAUUAAAACUACUGAAGAAAUUCUUCCCGAAAACUAUGUGAUCUAACUCAAACUAAAAAUAAUGUAAAAAAAAACUGAGGUGGCUAGCAAACCUGUAAAGUGGGAGAAGUCGAAAAAUUGCAAAACAAAAACCAUGGCAAGAGAGAACAGAAUCAUUUUCUAUUACCACAGCACAAAAGAUUCCCUUAAUCAGCAAUAUAAGGGAAAAAAAAUUAAAUAGAGCAACCAAAACAAGUAAUCAAAACCAUUGAAGAAAUUAUUGCACAAAAGGAUUAAGGCUCACGACAAUGAAAUGAACGCAAGAAAAAUGAGAUCUAAAGCAGCGAUGUAAAUCAUACCGAAUGCCGCAAUAAUCCGUGAAUGGCACCGUGAGAGGGUGUUGGAGUUUUGUGGCCAUUUAAGUUGGAAGUUAGGGUUUCGUGUGACAUAUGAAAUUGGAUAUUAGGGUUUCGUGUGAUAGAAAGGUAAAGAUUUUGGCUAAUAAAAUUGCAUGAAGUGAGAGGGGAAUCCAAAAGUUUUGUGUAUUGAGAAAGGGAGUGAGGUAAUGUUUGAAGUUUUGGGAAAGUGUUGUAAUAUAAAGGGAAUGAGAUUAAACAUGACAGUUCUAAACAAUAACAGUCAUGUUAAUUAUUAAAAUUAAAAGUUAUAUAUAAUGAUGGCUUUUAAUCACG